GGGGUAACGGCCCACCAAACCUUCGAUGGAUAGGGGUUCUGAGAGGAAGGUCCCCCACAUUGGAACUGAGACACGGUCCAAACUCCUACGGGAGGCAGCAGUGAGGAAUAUUGGUCAAUGGACGGAAGUCUGAACCAGCCAAGUAGCGUGAAGGAUGACUGCCCUAUGGGUUGUAAACUUCUUUUAUACGGGAAUAAAAUGAGGUACGCGUACCUUUUUGCAUGUACCGUUAUGAAUAAGCAUCGGCUAACUCCGUGCCAGCAGCCGCGGUAAUACGGAGGAUGCGAGCGUUAUCCGGAUUUAUUGGGUUUAAAGGGAGCGUAGGUGGGAUAUUAAGUCAGCUGUGAAAGUUUGGGGCUCAACCUUAAAAUUGCAGUUGAUACUGGUUUUCUUGAGUACGGUAUAGGUGGGCGGAAUUCGUGGUGUAGCGGUGAAAUGCUUAGAUAUCACGAAGAACUCCUAUUGCGAAGGCAGCUCACUGGACCGGUACUGACACUGAUGCUCGAAAGUGCGGGUAUCAAACAGGAUUAGAUACCCUGGUAGUCCGCACAGUAAACGAUGAAUACUCGCUGUUUGCGAUAUACAGUAAGCGGCCAAGCGAAAGCGUUAAGUAUUCCACCUGGGGAGUACGCCGGCAACGGUGAAACUCAAAGGAAUUGACGGGGGCCCGCACAAGCGGAGGAACAUGUGGUUUAAUUCGAUGAUACGCGAGGAACCUUACCCGGGCUUAAAUUGCACUGGCUUUUACCGGAAACGGUAUUUUCUUCGGACCAGUGUGAAGGUGCUGCAUGGUUGUCGUCAGCUCGUGCCGUGAGGUGUCGGCUUAAGUGCCAUAACGAGCGCAACCCUUAUCUUUAGUUACUAACAGUUUUGCUGAGGACUCUAAAGAGACUGCCGUCGUAAGAUGUGAGGAAGGUGGGGAUGACGUCAAAUCAGCACGGCCCUUACGUCCGGGGCUACACACGUGUUACAAUGGGGGGUACAGAGGGUCGCUACACGGCGACGUGCUGCCAAUCCUUAAAACCUCUCUCAGUUCGGAUCGAAGUCUGCAACCCGACUUCGUGAAGCUGGAUUCGCUAGUAAUCGCGCAUCAGCCACGGCGCGGUGAAUACGUUCCCGGGCCUUGUACACACCGCCCGUCAAGCCAUGAAAGCCGGGGGUACCUGAAGUACGUAACCGCGAGGAUCGUCCUA
Molecule: ribosomal RNA, 1193 nt
Filed under: Bacteroides pyogenes
Lineage: Bacteria; Pseudomonadati; Bacteroidota; Bacteroidia; Bacteroidales; Bacteroidaceae
Description: bacterial SSU rRNA
Rfam family: Bacterial small subunit ribosomal RNA
Source: RNAcentral